Molecule: long non-coding RNA, 487 nt
Filed under: Carica papaya (papaya)
Lineage: Eukaryota; Viridiplantae; Streptophyta; Magnoliopsida; Brassicales; Caricaceae
Description: long non-coding RNA (CPAP_LNC002813)
Source: RNAcentral
AGGUAAAAAAAAUUUUGUUUUGCAAGAAAUUCAAUUUUAAACCCACCCAUGGCCAAAUCAGAGUGAAAGAACUGGCCAAUUGGCUGAAAAAUAGCGCCGAAGCCCGGCGUCGCCGCCGCGGGGAAUUUCACAAACUGCCUCCGAUGAGGCCCUUCCCGAUUCCUGUUUCGUAUAAUUUUUCCACCGUUUUGAUCACCAUUUUUCUCUCUACAGGUUGACCGAAGCGAAACACCCAAUCGCAAUGUGAGCUGAAGGAGCCACCGCACCGGAGAGCCCCGCUGCCGAUGAGUUUCGAUUUUUCAUAUUUUUUCGACCCAUAGAGACACUUUAGCGUGUGUACUCAUAUGAAUAAAUGUAAAAUCAAUCGAAUUCGGUCGAAAACGGUCGACCCAAGGCGAAUUGCCACCGCAGGCGGCGACUCCGUCGCCGGAGCACGGCGAAGCUGCAGUGCCGAAUUUUCAAAAUUGGCUGAGUAGGCCCUAGGACU